CGACGGUGGGUGGUGAAGGAGAAAGGAGUCGGCGGUUAUGGAAAAAUUUGGGAGAAAAAAUGUAAGGUUUGGGGGUUUUAUUUGCUGGAAAGGGGUGUUUGGCUGCAGAGAUAUGGCAUUCUGGGCUGGAAUAGAACGUUUGGCAGCAUGGAUAGGGUUGUUUUGGUGCACACUUUCUGUCUUUUUUUUCUUCGUAUUUUCGCUCUAUUUCACCUAGAUGGAAG
RNAcentral lists this long non-coding RNA (224 nucleotides) under Gossypium barbadense (sea-island cotton). RNAcentral's name for it is "long non-coding RNA (GBAR_LNC011203)". Lineage: Eukaryota; Viridiplantae; Streptophyta; Magnoliopsida; Malvales; Malvaceae. The record is from RNAcentral.